AUUGAACGCUGGCGGCAGGCCUAACACAUGCAAGUCGAACGGUAACAGGAAGCAUCUUGCUGCUUCGCUGACGAGUGGCGGACGGGUGAGUAAUGUCUGUGAAGCUGCCUGAUGGAGGGGGAUAACUACUGGAAACGGUAGCUAAUACCGCAUAAUGUCGCAAGACCAAAGAGGGUGACCUUCGGGCCUCUUGCCAUCGGAUGUGCCCAGUUGGGAUUAGCUUGUUGUUGGGGUAACGGCUCACCAAGGCGACGAUCCGUAGCUGGUCUGAGAGGAUGACCAGCCACACUGGAACUGAGACACGGUCCAGACUCCUACGGGAGGCAGCAGUGGGGAAUAUUGCACAAUGGGCGAAAGCCUGAUGCAGCCAUGCCGCGUGUAUGAAGAAGGCCUUCGGGUUGUAAAGUACUUUAAGCGGGGAGGAAGGGAGUAAAGUUAAUACCUUGGCUCAUUGACGUUACCCGCAGAAGAAGCACCGGCUAACUCCGUG
Molecule: ribosomal RNA, 490 nt
Filed under: uncultured bacterium
Lineage: Bacteria
Description: partial 16S ribosomal RNA
Rfam family: Bacterial small subunit ribosomal RNA
Source: RNAcentral